AGUGUUUUUUUAGACGGUGCGAUUCGGAUAAAGGGACCMUGGGCGUAAGCCCCGGUCUCAGACGACGUCCACUGAUCCUUGGUACGUCGGUGUUCUCUCUGGAGUCUGGGCGCUCGUGUGUGUGCGCGAUGUCUCUCUCUUGUCAAGGCCCGUGUCAAAGCGGCGUUGCGGCGAGGGUGUGGGCUCGUCUCAUGCGCGGCGUCUGUCUCUCUCGGGGGGCUCAUUGACAAAGUGCCUCGGAGUACGUUUCUUCUUAGAGGGAUUGACGACUCAUAAGUCGUAAGAAACAGGGAGCAAUAACAGGUCUGUGAUGCCCUUAGAUGUUCUGGGCUGCACGCGUGUUACAAUGCCGGUAUCAACGGGUUCUUACACUCUUAGUGGCCUACUCCGAAAGGAGCGGGUAAACCUUUGAAAUACCAACUGCUGCCAUACUUCUCGUACGGCGCAUUUACGGCAUGCUUGGGACUGGGGAUUGCAAUUAUUCCCCACGAACUAGGAAUGCCUUGUAGUGGCGGGUCACAGAACCCGCUGCGAAUCUGUCCCUGCCCUUUGUACACACCGCCCGUCGCUACUACCGAUUGAGUGUACCAGUGAGAUUUUUGGACUGGCGAACCGCGUGCCUUCACGGGCUCGCGGCGUACGACAACAAGAGACUCGAACUGGUGCACUUAGAGGGAAGUAAAAGUCGUAACAAGGUUU
RNAcentral lists this ribosomal RNA (699 nucleotides) under Hyperia galba. RNAcentral's name for it is "partial small subunit ribosomal RNA". It matches the Rfam family "Eukaryotic small subunit ribosomal RNA", at positions 1372 to 1822 of the family's 1831-position model. Lineage: Eukaryota; Metazoa; Arthropoda; Malacostraca; Amphipoda; Hyperiidae. The record is from RNAcentral.